This 253-nucleotide ribosomal RNA is filed under the name uncultured bacterium. RNAcentral describes it as "partial 16S ribosomal RNA". It matches the Rfam family "Bacterial small subunit ribosomal RNA", at positions 524 to 776 of the family's 1533-position model. The record is from RNAcentral.
UACGUAGGGGGCAAGCGUUGUCCGGAUUUAUUGGGCGUAAAGAGCGUGUAGGCGGCCAGGCAGGUCCGCUGUGAAAACUCGAGGCUCAACCUCGAGAGGUCGGUGGAAACCGUCUGGCUAGAGUCCGGGAGAGGAGAGUGGAAUUCCCGGUGUAGCGGUGAAAUGCGCAGAUAUCGGGAAGAACACCCGUGGCGAAGGCGGCUCUCUGGGACGGUACUGACGCUGAGACGCGAAAGCGUGGGGAGCAAACCGG